AAUAAAUACAGUUUUAUAUUGUUCAUAUCCAACGUUUGACGGUUCAUUUUAUUUAAAAUUCUUUUAAACAUGAGCAAGUACUUUGUGUGUGACUAAUUUUUUUUUAAUUUUUUCAUAAAAUUUUCAAAUAAGACGAACGGUCAAACGUUUGACAUGUAUACCCACGGAUACACUUAUU
Oryza meridionalis is the source of this 178-nucleotide non-coding RNA. Lineage: Eukaryota; Viridiplantae; Streptophyta; Magnoliopsida; Poales; Poaceae. The record is from Rfam.